Molecule: non-coding RNA, 741 nt
Filed under: Nycteribia parvula
Lineage: Eukaryota; Metazoa; Arthropoda; Insecta; Diptera; Nycteribiidae
Source: RNAcentral
UUUUUAAUUUUUAUAUAAAAGUUUAAUUUAAGUUUUAUGUUUUAUUAUUAGUUAAAUUUACAUGUAAAUUUUAGUAAGUAUUUAUAAUUUAAAUAAUAUAUAUAUAUAUAUAUACAGUAAUUAAUAUUAUAGAAUUAAAGAAAUUUAGAAAUAGUUAAAUUAAAUAGUAUAAAUAAAAUUUGUGCCAGCAAUUGCGGUUAAACAGAUUAUACAAAUAAAAUUUAUUGGUAUAAAUAAAAUUAUAUAUAUAUAUAUAUAUAUAUAUAUAUAUUAUAUUGAAUUUAUAAAUUUAAAAAUAAACUAGGAUUAGAUACCCUAUUAUUAUAAAUGAAAUUUUUUAAACUAUAGUAGUAUUAGUUAUGUUCUUGAAAUUAAAAAAAUUUGGCGGUAUUUUAGUCUAUUCAGAGGAACCUGUUUCAUAAUCGAUAAUCCACGAUGGACCUUACUUAAUUUUAUAAAGUUUAUAUACCGUCGUUAUAAAUAUUUUAAAAGAAUUUUAAUUUUUAAUUUUUAUUAAGAUAAAAUAUAUCAGAUCAAGGUUUAGCUAAUAGUUAAGUGAAAAUGGGUUACAAUAAAAUUAUUUAAAUGAAUUUAAUAUUGAAAUAUAUUAAUGAAAAUGGAUUUGAUAGUAAAAUUAUAUAGAUUAAUAAUUUGAUUUUAGCUCUAAAAUAUGUACAUAUCGCCCGUCACUCUUAUUUAUAAAUAAGAUAAGUCGUAACAUAGUAGAUGUACUGGAAAGUG